CCUACGGGUGGCAGCAGUGGGGAAUAUUGGACAAUGGGGGGAACCCUGAUCCAGCGACGCCGCGUGAGUGAAGAAGUAUUUCGGUAUGUAAAGCUCUAUCAGCAGGGAAGAAAAUGAAGGUACCUGACUAUGAAGCCCUGGCUAACUACGUGCAAGAAGCCGCGGUAAUACGUAGGGGGCAAGCGUUAUCCGGAUUUACUGGGUGUAAAGGGAGCGUAGAUGGUGCAUCAAGUAUGAUGGGAAAGGUCGGGGCCCAACCGCGGGACUGCAUUUGAAACUGGUGAACUGGAGUACAGGAGAGGUAAGCGGAAUUCCUGGUGUAGCGGUGAAAUGCGUAGAUAGUAGGAGGAACACCAGUGGCGAAGGCGGCUUUCUGGCCUGUAACUGACGUUGAGGUUCGAAAGCGUGGGUAGCAAACAGGAUUAGAUACCCUUGUAGUC
This 440-nucleotide ribosomal RNA is filed under the name uncultured bacterium. RNAcentral describes it as "partial 16S ribosomal RNA". It matches the Rfam family "Bacterial small subunit ribosomal RNA", at positions 338 to 795 of the family's 1533-position model. The record is from RNAcentral.